CCCUUAGAUGUCCGGGGCCGCACGCGCGCUACACUGAAGGAAUCAGCGUGGCUUUCUCCCUGACCCGAAAGGGUUGGGAAACCCGUUGAAUCUCCUUCGUGAUAGGGAUUGGGGCUUGAAAUUGCUCCCCAUGAACGAGGAAUCCCUAGUAAGCGCAAGUCAGCAGCUUGCGUUGAUUACGUCCCUGCCCUUUGUACACACCGCCCGUCGCUACUACCGAUUGAAUGGUUUAGUGAGAAUUUUGGACUGGAACUCCCUUGCUCAGCAAUGGGCGAGGGGGAGUCCGGGAAGCUAUUCUAACUGUAUCAUUUAGAGGAAGUAAAAGUCGUAACA
Molecule: ribosomal RNA, 333 nt
Filed under: uncultured eukaryote
Lineage: Eukaryota
Description: partial 18S ribosomal RNA
Rfam family: Eukaryotic small subunit ribosomal RNA
Source: RNAcentral